Molecule: long non-coding RNA, 6779 nt
Filed under: Sus scrofa (pig)
Lineage: Eukaryota; Metazoa; Chordata; Mammalia; Artiodactyla; Suidae
Description: lncRNA (ENSSSCG00000057675.1)
Source: RNAcentral
GGCUACGGCUCCGAUUAGACCCCUAGCCCGGGAUCCUCCAUAUGCCGAAAGAGUGGCCCAAGAAAUGGCAAAAAGACAAAAAAAAAAAAAAAAAGUAAAAAGAAGGAGCCAGAAUAUAUAGGAGUUUUACAAAAACAAACCAUCUAGUUGAACAUCAAAACUUUUUUUUUUUUGGGAAGUCAGCCUUUGCUUGAUUGUUUUUUUUCUUUUUUUUUUUUUUUUUUUUUUUGUCUUUUUAGGGCCGCACCAGCAGCAUAUGGAAGUUCCCAGGGUAGGGGCUGAAUCGGAGCUAUAGCUGCCAGCCUACGCCACAGCCACAGCAACUUGGGAUCCAAACUGAGUCUGCGACCUACACCACAGCUCAUGGCAAUGCCGGAUUCUUAACCCACGGAGUGAGGCCAGGGAUCAAACCCACGUCCUCAUGGAUCCUAGUCAGGUUUGUUAACCACUGAGCCACAACGGGAACUCCCAAAACAUUUCUGCUAAUGAAAGAAAAAAACAAAUACCUGGAAGUUAAUGAAUUAGCGUUCUUCUAUGAAUGGGAAGAUGAUCGUGUCUGGGCUUAAUGAACUUACUCCUUUGAUGUGCACCUCAGCUCUCUAGGGUCAGUAUCCUUUUUUGUCCUGAGUCCCCUCAAGGUGCACCGUUGGGGCCUGUUGAUCACCAUCCUGAGUUCCCUCAGGGUGCACUGUUGGAGGUGGUUACUGUGGCUGAUGGCUUGAUGGCCACAAAUCCUUUGUUUACUGGAUUGGAAGACAACCUUUUUUGUUUACAUCCCAAACCUUUAGUAUCUACCCUUGGUUCCUGUGUUACAGCUGGCCAGUGUUACUAUUACUGAGCUUGUGUGUUUUCUCCUAGUGUCUGUGAGCAUGUCACAUGAUCUACUCCUAAGUUGUUCACUAGUCCAGUGUUUUCUAAAGUGUGGUUAGCACACCUCCAGGAGGUUGAGUAAGUAUCAGAUGACCAAGCAUUUCACAAUUCUAACUGUAGUAGUUAUAUAUUUUAAUGUAUGUGUGUAUAUUUUUAAAUGUAACUGGCCUAUCAGGCUGGUAUUUGCCUGAGGGAAUCUAAGUAAAAUAGGGAAGCAAUUUAAAGAAAUGCAUUGAAUACAGAAUAGUAGAGGUGGUAUUCAGGAAUGUCCAACACUGUGACAAUGACUGAAAUAUGGUAAACACUAAUACUGCUGAGUUGUGGCUAGCUAGUGCCACAUGAUCCAGAAAGGAGACUUAAGAAGCACAUUUCUUUCCAAAAUAGCCCUGGGGCCUGUGCUCUUCCCCCAGCUGGAAUGGAAGCUAAGGUUUGCCCAGUGCUGGCCUCUCAGUGUUUUUGUGGAAUGGACGUAGAACUCUUUCCAGUCUGGUUGGAGUUAGCCAGUUCUGAGUUGCAAGAGGCUGUGUGCAGAGUGUGGGAACCAGAGAAGCAAAGCAAGCCUUGUGGAAACUGCUUCCCUCUUAGAGCUGUGCUUCUGCCCCAGAGAUCUCCCUUCUUUUGCACUUUUGCUCCUGUUGCUCUGAGAUGCAGGGAGGGGCUGAUAACUGAUGGUUAGCUGGAGCAUUGAGUUCUUAGCUUCAGAGAGGCUGCUCAUCUGUCUCAGAACUGCCCCUGGCGCACCUCCAGCCCAGAUAAGUGGCAGUGCAGUGGGGGAGGCAGAUGGUAUCAAAGGUCACUACCAGCUCCCAGAGGCCAGCCCUCUUCUUAGAUUGGGGCUCUUGAGAGCUUCUCAGGAGGUGUCUUCAGUGCAACAUUCCAGAUUGCCCCCUAGGAAUAGAAAAGGCAGCUAACGUUUAUUGGGCACCUCCUAGGUGCUGGAAGGUUUAUAUUUAAAUCUCACAACAGCCUAUGAAAAUAGUAUUAUCCCCAUUCUCCAGAGGCUCCCUCAAAUGAAGUGACUUGCUCAAGUUCCCAUAGUGAGUGGCAGAGAUAGGAGUCAAACCCAGGAUAGUGUGAGGCCAAAGCAAAGAACCAUACUGAGGGAAAGACACCAGCAGGCCUGUCCUCUGGAGACACCGGCCUCACUCUGCUGUUGUCUGGACAUGGCAUGGCUGCCUCUCUUUCCAAACGGAGAGAAGUAAAACUGAGGGAGGCCAGGGUCUUGUAGGCAGGGUCUGCCUUUUUGAAUCCAUGCAAGGGGCAGUGAUCAGCCUGUGUGUGGCAAUGGCCAGGCAACAUGGCUCGCUUCGGGUGCCAGAAACAACUGUAAGCUUUACAUCUUAAACUAAAGAUUCCACUAAAUAAAGAAAAAUAGGAAACGUAUAGCCCCUUCCUGACCAGCCCAACCUUGUGUAUUAAAACCAAUUGUAGUACUAAGUAAUAAAGCAUUCCUCUAAAAGAAAGAAGUUUGAAUAAGGCAGACAUUAUACACAGGUUCUGAAACAGCCUCACCUGAGGAAGGGGUCAGGCUCGGCCUGGGUGCAGGGCCAAGAAGAAUGCCCUAAACCAGUCAGAGUCCUAAAUAAAUGAAACUGUCAGAGCAAUGACCACAAACUGGCCUCUCCUCAGCUCAUUUCCUGAGAUAGGAAUACGGUUUAUUGAGCAAUUUCCCUGUGCCAAGUCAUUUUGUUUGCAAUAAACCUAUUAGGCAGGUAAUUUUUUUUGUUCAUUUGGGUUUUUUUUGUUUUUUUUUUUUAAUUUUUGGCUGCACCUGCGGCAUGCAGAAAUUUCUGGGCCAGGGAUCGAACCUGGGCUACAGCUGCAAACCAAGUCACAACUGUGACAACACCAAAUCCUUAACCCACUGAAACACCAGGGAAAUCCCGAGGUGAGUACUAUUAUUUUUCCUAUUUCAUAGAUGCCUAAGGCUUAGAAAGUGACUGGCUGCCAUACCUAAGGUUCCCACUGAGACCCUCUUCUCAAAGGAUUAUAAGCUUGGUGCAGAGCGGAGGAAUACAGUGCAGAUGGAGGCUCUGCCAUUUGUCCCUCCUGUCCCUUAGGAGACAUGAAGAGUGUCUCUCCAAGUGGCAGGGGAAUGCCUGCAUUCUGAAAGGCCUGGACAGGAAGAAAGACAGGGCCCUCCUCAAAUGGGGUCACUCUGGGCUUUAUUUUCCCCAUCCCGCUCCGUCCCAGGACUGACAAAGUUGCACAGAAGCAGGCUGACAAGAGCUGUCCCACAUGAUCAUUAUCAGCCCCUGGCACAUUCCUGCUGCUCAGGGCAGUGAGGACGCAGCCUCCGAGGAGCAAUGCCUCAUGUCAACUUCAUUGACUUUCUGCUUCGUUAGGUCAGUGAGAGGCUGCAGCUUGCACAGAGAGGCCUCUUCAGCACAGCCUAGCAAUUUCCUGAGAGGACCUCCCCAUUGUCCCUGCUGCCAGGGGCAGUAGCUGCAUCUGGUUUCUAUGCAAAGAGUCUGCCCAGGUGCCACCUGGAUUUCAUAUCUUCAAAGCCUGUCUACAGCACAUCUGGCUGUGUGAUUUAGGGCAAGUGCUUUACCUCCCCAAGAUUCAGUACCUGUUUCUGGAAAAUGGGAGUAAUGAUGUUCCCUACCCCACAAGAUGGUUGUGAAGAUUAAAUUAGAUAAUGCAUUGGCAUUCUCCAGUGGUGGUGCACAGGUUAAGGAUCUGGCAUUGUCACUGCAGCAGCUUGGUUACUGCUGUGGCACAUGAUGGAUCCCUGACCUGGGAACUUCCACAUGCCACAGGCAUGCCACCCCUCCCUCCCCCCAAAUUAGAUGAUGCAUGUAAAAUCUCACAAAGUCUGGACCCACAAGAUUUGAUCUAGCACUGACCAGGAAGCCCCCUUCAGCAAUCACAAGUAAUUUCAAAACAGCUCAAAUCCUAGGCUGGCCCUUUGGGCAAACUGAAAGUAGAAUUUAGUGAUGUCUGUAGCAGCAUUUAUCAAGAAUCUUCUUUCCUGUCAGAGCUCCUUUCAUCCUUAAGGAGAAGUCAGGCCAACUCUUCCAAUCUCCCACCUCCAAAAUUCCCUGGAGACAUUUUCUCUUCCUCUUUAUUAUAUAGAUUAACAUCCUUUAGACUCAAAUCAUUCUUCCCACCACCAGUCUAAAUACACAUAGUCUUCCCCAACUGGGUAUUAUUGAUUCUGUAUCACAAGAGCCCAAGGAACAAGUUGAGCAGAAGCCAAACUCCCACCUUGGGAUUGGGAGAAGAACUCUUUAUUCCCACAAUUGAAUUUUUUGUUAUUUUUAUAAUUUUUUGUUAAAGUGUAGUUGAUUUACAAUGUUGUGCCAAUUUCUGCUGUACAGCAGAGUGACCCAGUGACAGAUAUAUACACAUUCCUUUUCUCAUAUUCCAUCAUGUUCUAUCCCAAGAGACUGGAUGUAGUUCACUCUGCUAUAGAGUAGGACCUCAUUGCAUAUCCAUUCUAAAUGUGAUCAUUUGCACCUACUAACCCCAAACCCCCAGUCCAUCCCACUUCUUCCUCCCUUCUGCUUGGUUGGCAACCACAAGUCUGUUCUCUCUCUGUGAGUCACACAACUGAAUUUCAGGCUUCCUCCCAGCAAUGUGCACAGAGGGCUGAGAGGAGGAGCUGGCCGAACCAGGAGCAGUUCCACUUUGCAUUCUGAUUUGGCUUUCUCCUGGAAAUGGAAUCUCUCUGAAGGGGCCUCCCCAGUUCUCGACAUUGUGGCAGUAAUGUUAGCUCCAUCUCUUCUCCUGGGGUCCGCCCCCCCACCCUCCCACUGGCUCUUGAGUCUGUCUCCAUAUUGAUAAACACCCACCCUGCUAAAAGCUUGCCAGCUCCUCAGAUGCCCCAGGGGCCAUUUUAUGGGGUGGAGGUUAGUAAGGAUCUGGGAUUAUUGCCAUUAUCCAUGGCAAACUAUCUCCUGGACCACCACCACCCCCUGUGCCAGGAAGAGCAAAGUCUGAAGCCAGCUAACACAUUGUGAAAUUCUCACCUGUCGCCCAUUACCCUAAACCAAAACCCCACUGUCUUCCCUGAGAAAUGAAUUCCACAUGGGAGAGAGAGAAUGGUUUCCAAAGAAUCCAGCCUGACCCAUUUCAGGACCUUUCUCAAAAACCUGCCACUGGGCCUGAAGCCUUCCGGGGCAACCCAGCUGGGCUUCCUCCCUCGGCUGUUCCUAACUUCCAGGGAUGACAGGGGGGUGUGAUGGGCCCACAGUGACAGUCAGCCCCACUGGGGUCUGCAAGGGAGCCCUGCCAAGGAUGCUGGCUCUGGAUUGUCGCCCAAGGCAGGAAGCUCUGGCCUAUGGUUACCAUGGAGAUCUUGGCACAGCCUGUGUCCAUAUGUGGUUGACAGGCGGCCUCCCUUAGGAAAUGAGAAAGAUUUGAUUUCUUGAGAACUGACUCAGCUUGGGUGGAGAGUCUGACAUGAUGGACCUGCAGCUAAGGGGGCCACAGAGGAGGCUAAGGCUGGGUGCUCUGUGAGAAUAGUGCUCUAUUGAGGUGGCCUCCUACCAGUCCUAUUGCUUUAAUGACUGGGGUGUGGCCUCCUGCUGAGUGAGGCCUCUCUGCCAAGCUGCCAAUUCCAAGUAAGGGCUGUUCAAAGAGGCUCUAGUUCAGUGGAAAAACCCCAGAAGUCAGAGCUGGAAGUGGAGCCACACCCACAGUGCCAGAGAAAGCCUGGGCUUGUGGAGAAGGCCAUGGUGUCUGGUACGGAGGAGAAAGCACUAGACUAGGUGGCAGGUUCCUGUCCUUUAGCCACUACCCGAAACACUAAGGUAGAGUUGAAAGCACUUCACUUUCCUUGCCUCUCUGGGCCCUAAUUUCCCACUGAGCAAUGAUGUCUGUCUUCAGGCCAGUAGGAUUGCUGAGGGCCCUACAAUACAGGCAAUGUGGGGCAGCGGAAACGAACCCUUCUAGGAACCAUGAAGGUGAGGGUUCAAGCCCUGGCCUCGCUCACUCAGUGGGUUAAGGAUCCAGUGUUGCUGUGAGCUGUGCUGUAGAUAACAGAGGUGGCUUGGAUCCCGUGUUGCUGUGGCUGUGGCGUAGACCAGCAGCUCUAGCUCCGAUUCAGCCCCUAGCCUGGGAACCUCUAUAUGCUGUAGGUGCAGCCCUAAAAAGCAAAAAAAAAAAAAAAAAAAAGAUGAUAUAGUUUAAAAAAAAAAAGGGCAGGUGCGAGGGGCUGAUCUCCCUCCUAUUCAAUGGAAGGCCAAAUCUGUGAAGGCCUUUCCUAGGCUUUCAUCCCUCUGUGGCUAAAACCGGAGGAUGAGCUAAGUUAAAAUGUCCUUUAAGAGGGCCUGACACUGCAAGUGUGUUUGUACAAAGGGCAGAGUUUGGCCCCGCACACACGUGGGCUGUGCAAGGCUAACGGAGCACCAGCAAGAGGGAGGCUGAUUAGAUAGGGCCCUGAAGCAGCCCUGUGGAUGGACAGGUGAGUUGUCUGGACCUUCCUGCAGCCCUGGAUGAAAGGCCUUGAGAAGUAUUUAUCACAUUUGCCCUUUGAUAUUUAUUCCAGGAACAAAAAGCCAACUGCUUUCCAGGUUGUGAGGCACCCCAUAAAAACAGAGCAGCAGAGUAGCGUAGGAUAAGAAAAACUAGACCAGGAGUUUGAAAUUCAUCAGACUGCUUUCCAGCUAUAAGGUCUGAAGCAAUUACAUUUUUUGAGGUUUGGUAGUCUCACCAGUAAAACGGAGAUAAACAUUCUAGUUCAACUUUCCUCUCCUGAUUGAGGUAAAAAUACCAUGAGAGGGAGUUCCUAUUGUGGCUCAGCAGUAAUGAACCUGACUAGUAUCCAUGAGGAUGCAAGUUUGAUUCCUGGCCUGCUUCAGUGGAUUAAGGAUCCUGCCUUGCUGUGUCUGUGGGGUAGGCUAGCAGCUACAGCUGCAAUUUGACCCCUAGCCUGGGAACUUCCGUAUGCCACCAGUGUGGCC